AGAGUGUUCAAAGCAGGCAGAUCCAAUUUUCUGCCACCGAAUACAUUAGCAUGGGAUAAUGGAAUAGGACCCUGUCCUCCUAUUUUCAGUUGGUUUUGGCAGCGCGAGGACUAGGGUAAUGAUUAAUAGGGAUAGUUGGGGGCAUUAAUAUUUAAUUGUCAGAGGUGAAAUUCUUGGAUUUAUGAAAGAUUAACUUCUGCGAAAGCAUCUGCCAAGGAUGUUUUCAUUAAUCAAGAACGAAAGUUAGGGGAUCGAAGACGAUCAGAUACCGUCGUAGUCUUAACCAUAAACGAUGCCGACCAGCGAUUAGGAGACGUUGAAUACAAAACACCACCAUCGGCGCGGUCGUCCUUGGCGUGUCUCGGCUUCACGGCCGGGGCGCGCGAGGGCGGUUUAGCCCGGUGGCACCGG
This 411-nucleotide ribosomal RNA is filed under the name Acanthamoeba sp. ACA9. RNAcentral's name for it is "SSU rRNA". The stretch from base 1 to 369 matches the Rfam family "Eukaryotic small subunit ribosomal RNA", at positions 768 to 1115 of the family's 1831-position model. Lineage: Eukaryota; Discosea; Longamoebia; Acanthamoebidae. The record is from RNAcentral.